This 206-nucleotide long non-coding RNA is filed under the name Elaeis guineensis (African oil palm). RNAcentral's name for it is "long non-coding RNA (EGUI_LNC048168)". The record is from RNAcentral. Lineage: Eukaryota; Viridiplantae; Streptophyta; Magnoliopsida; Arecales; Arecaceae.
AUGAUGCAUAGAAGGUCUCCACCGUCAGACAGCCUGCCUCAAUGAUUUGGCCCUUCACUUUCUUCUCAAUCUCGGCGACCUUCGCCUAUGCCGCCCGGUGUCUCUUCUUCUGUGAAGCCAGUUAGCCUCAGCCUUGACCUUGGACACCUCAGCCUUUUCUAGGACCUUCUUGAGAUGCUUAGCUUCAAUCUCGACCACCUCACUAC